GACGAACGCUAGCGACGUGCCUAAGAAAUGCAAGUCGAACGGGGGGAGCAAUCCCUUAGUGGCGAACGGUCGCGUAACACGUGGGCAACCUGCCCUGAAGCGGGGGACAACAGAGGGAAACUUCUGCUAAUACCGCAUGUGAAUGAUCUCCGGCAUCGGAGGGUAUUCAAAGCCGCAAGGCACUUCAGGAUGGGCCCGCGGCCUAUCAGCUAGUUGGAGGGGUAACGGCCCACCAAGGCGACGACGGGUAGCUGGUCUGAGAGGACGAUCAGCCGGA
RNAcentral lists this ribosomal RNA (277 nucleotides) under uncultured bacterium. Its description in RNAcentral is "partial 16S ribosomal RNA". It matches the Rfam family "Bacterial small subunit ribosomal RNA", at positions 28 to 312 of the family's 1533-position model. The record is from RNAcentral.